UACGAAGGGGGCUAGCGUUGCUCGGAAUUACUGGGCGUAAAGGGCGCGUAGGCGGACAGUUUAGUCAGAGGUGAAAGCCCAGGGCUCAACCUUGGAAUAGCCUUUGAUACUGACUGUCUUGAGUUCGGGAGAGGUGAGUGGAAUGCCGAGUGUAGAGGUGAAAUUCGUAGAUAUUCGGCGGAACACCGGUGGCGAAGGCGGCCUGCUGGGCAGUUGCUGACACUGAGGCGCGACAGCGUGGGGAGCAAACAGG
This 253-nucleotide ribosomal RNA is filed under the name uncultured bacterium. Its description in RNAcentral is "partial 16S ribosomal RNA". It matches the Rfam family "Bacterial small subunit ribosomal RNA", at positions 524 to 776 of the family's 1533-position model. The record is from RNAcentral.